AUUGAACGCUGGCGGCAGGCCUAACACAUGCAAGUCGAGCGGCGGCGGACGGGUGAGUAACGCGUAAAGAACUUGCCUCACAGCUAGGGACAACAUUUGGAAACGAAUGCUAAUACCUAAUACUGUGAGAGAGUUUUGCGUCCCAUUAGCUAGUUGGAGAGGUAACGGCUCACCAAGGCGAGGAUGGGUAGCCGGCCUGAGAGGGUGAUCGGCCAAAAGGGGACUGGGGCACGGCCCUUAGACCUACGGGAGGCAGAAGUGGGGAAUAGUGGACAAUGGACCAAAGUGUGAUCCAGCAAUUCUGUGUGUACGAUGAAGUUUUCGGAAUGUAAAGUGUUUUCAGUUGGGAAGCGGUACCAACAGAAGAAGUGACGGCUAAAUACGUGCCAGCAGCCGCGGUAAUAC
This 405-nucleotide ribosomal RNA is filed under the name uncultured bacterium. RNAcentral describes it as "partial 16S ribosomal RNA". It matches the Rfam family "Bacterial small subunit ribosomal RNA", at positions 30 to 526 of the family's 1533-position model. The record is from RNAcentral.